RNAcentral lists this small nucleolar RNA (79 nucleotides) under Paraphaeosphaeria sporulosa. Its description in RNAcentral is "Small nucleolar RNA R38". It matches the Rfam family "Small nucleolar RNA R38". From Rfam's summary of the family: snoR38 is a C/D box small nucleolar RNA conserved across yeast, human, Arabidopsis and rice. It is encoded in the intron of elongation factor-1 gamma in both pombe and cerevisiae. snoR38 guides the methylation of 2'-O-ribose sites in 28S rRNA. The record is from Rfam by way of RNAcentral. Lineage: Eukaryota; Fungi; Ascomycota; Dothideomycetes; Pleosporales; Didymosphaeriaceae.
CGCGCAAAGGAUGAGACUUUAUCAUUCAGUUAUCCCUGUCUGAACACAUUUGUUGAGAACUCUAUACUCUGAUCUCCCG